Molecule: ribosomal RNA, 433 nt
Filed under: uncultured bacterium
Lineage: Bacteria
Description: partial 16S ribosomal RNA
Rfam family: Bacterial small subunit ribosomal RNA
Source: RNAcentral
AGCGAACGCUGGCGGCAGGCCUAACACAUGCAAGUCGAACGAACUCUUCGGAGUUAGUGGCGGACGGGGGAGUAACACGUGGGAACGUGCCUUUUGGUUCGGCAUAACUCAGGGAAACUUGUGCUAAUACCGAAUGUGCCCUUCGGGGGAAAGAUUUAUCGCCAUUAGAGCGGCCCGCGUCUGAUUAGCUAGUUGGUGAGGUAACGGCUCACCAAGGCGACGAUCAGUAGCUGGUCUGAGAGGAUGACCAGCCACACUGGGACUGAGACACGGCCCAGAAUCCUACGGGAAGGAGCAGUGGGGAAUCUUGCGCAAUGGGCGAAAGCCUGACGCAGCCAUGCCGCGUGAAUGAUGAAGGUCUUAGGAUUGUAAAAUUCUUUCACCGGGGACGAUAAUGACGGUACCCGGAGAAGAAGCCCCGGCUAACUUCGUG